This is a small nuclear RNA of Lynx canadensis (Canada lynx), 168 nucleotides long. Its record names the gene U2. It matches the Rfam family "U2 spliceosomal RNA". From Rfam's summary of the family: U2 is a small nuclear RNA (snRNA) component of the spliceosome (involved in pre-mRNA splicing). Complementary binding between U2 snRNA (in an area lying towards the 5' end but 3' to hairpin I) and the branchpoint sequence (BPS) of the intron results the bulging out of an unpaired adenosine, on the BPS, which initiates a nucleophilic attack at the intronic 5' splice site, thus starting the first of two transesterification reactions that mediate splicing. Lineage: Eukaryota; Metazoa; Chordata; Mammalia; Carnivora; Felidae. The record is from Ensembl.
AUCGCCUCUUGGCCUUUUGGCUCAGAUCAAGCGUCGUGUCUGUUCUUACCAGUUUUAUAACUGAUACAUCCUCUCUCCGAGGGCAAUAUAUUAAAUGGAUUUGGGGAGCAGGGAGAUGGCCUAGGAGCUUGCUCCGUCCCCUCCAUGCAUCGAGCUGGUUAAAAAAAU